GGCCGAUAAUUUCCCCCUCAUGAACCAAGUCAUUAUUUGUCGUUUAUUCUGAGCGUUGAAUCUUUCCUCUCAAUGGUUUCAGGUUCAUUUUCCAUGAGAUCGACUUCCUCUUGGAGGUUCCCUCUGCAAUGGCUGUGAAGGCUGGAAUCAUGGGUGGGAGUUUCAGCCGCAUUGACCGUGACGCAGGAAGUUCCGGAAUUUCAGCCUCUAAAAGCACGAGCUGCAGGCAGGGCCAAAGCAGUCUGAGGGCAGAGUACAGAAGGACACAAUAUGUUCUGGAAACGUAAAAAGCAAUCGAUGGGGACUUGUUUGAAUGUCCACCCUGAUGAUGCCUCAAAAGCCACCGUGAUGCUUACCAACGUUCGCUUCUUCGGAAACCUUUUUGCAAGCCCAUCGUCCAAGUCACCUGUGCACUUGAUUAAAAUGUCUUCACAGGACUCUGGCGUAGGAUUUCAAACUCCAUUGCACGGAGGUCAGCAAAACAAAAAUGUCUUGAUUUCUGUAGAACCAAAAGGAAGUGGACCUGGUGCUUCGGGUCUUCAGGAUCUGAAACCAGACAUCAUACAGCGGCCAAGCCCUCCAUCUUCUACCCCUGGGAUAGUUGAAAAUGAUGGAAUGGUCAGACUUGGUUCCCCACUUCAGGCCCCAGCCUUGUACCCUGAUGGUGACUCAAUAAGUUCUCCUGCUGCCCGUAACUUAGACGACUCAAGCAAAGAUCAAGAGCAUUUAGACAUAGACAGUAUAGUACCAAAGGAAAUGGACUCAUCGAAAGCUUUCAUCACCAACUUUCACGAGUGUUCAAGCAAUAGCACAGCAAGUGAAAUCAAUGACAGUGAUGAAGAUGAUGAUGUAUUUGACUCUUUUGAGGAUGGUGCUCAUAAAGCAAAGGAUUACACCCACGAUACAUCCCAAAUGGGCAAAUUAAAAAUGAUCAACGAAGACCAAAAUGACUUUGGCAUUCCGGAGAAUUACGUUGACAUGAAGGCUUCCAUUGCCGCAACACCAAGCAACUCCAACCUUCGUACUCUUAUAGGAAAUAGAAACCCUCAAAAGCCAUCGCUCACGAGAACCACCACGAGGAGUUUCAGGAUUGAAAGCAAAGUUGAGGUAAGGCUCCAUGUGACAAUGAGUCUGAUAUUUUUUGGUAAUUGAUAUGUUGUUGUGCAUAUCGGAUAAAUAUUCAGUAAAGCAUGCUUUAAACUGUCUUUUAAUACCGAAUUGUUCAAUCACCUCGGAUCUAUAUUUAUUAUGAAGAAUCUCGGAUGUAUGAGUGGAUUGUUAAUAAUGAGUAGCAAAAGGCAGAAGAGUCCAUCCACCAUCUUCCAGGCCACCUCCAAAAAGUCUCGUGCACUGUAUUGUAUGGAAUUUUAAUUUUCCAGGGCAGCAUCCGCUGCAGAACUGGAGGAAAUUCCAUUGCUAGUCAUAACAAUGGCAGAGUAGACAGAGCAUUUAUAUUCCAAAGUCUUUUAACUUCAACAGAUUGCUGAUGAUAUGCUGGAAUAAUUGCAAUGAACUUUUUCACCAUAACUCCUUCUCUAACGUACUUUCUUCUUCAAUUGUGCAGUCAAGAGCAAUGGUGAACAGAAGCGCAGGCCUCGGCCACUUGGAUCAGCUCUGCCGGCUCAUGGAGAAGCUGGGAGAGCUGCAGGACAGCAACAGGAGGCUGCGAUGUCAACUGCACAUGCUCGAGAACCAGUUGCAGGCCUCACAGAAACAGCAGGUGCGUGUGUCCUUUAUCGAAAGUCGAAUAAAAGGUGGAAUUAAUCAUGUGGGAGGUUUUCGACAAAAGCGGCUUCAGUCGAUUUGCAGUGGGGAGGUUUGGAUCACUAUUGUGAUGCAUAAAAGCUUAACAUCAUGGAGGCCUUGCUUUGUUUUGGAAACGGAGCCGAGGCUCAUGGAGGAGUUCAUAUACAUUUAUUCAAUGUCUUAAGUCCACUAAUGCUUAUGGUUUGUCCAAUUUGAAGUUUGUAUUUUAACCAUGAUUUCAUAUCCUUGCGUAUUGCCUACAGGCAUUGAUGAGCUCUCAAUGUAGCUGCGGGGCAGCACACAUCCUGGGACUUCAGCCUGCAGGGACCUCCCGAGGUGAGCGUCUUUGUAAGCUUUUUGUCCAUUUCAUCAGUUCAGAUAAAAGUAUAAACGAGAAUUCUCUUUUAUAAAACCUUUUAUAAAAACCUUCAGUCGGUACUGAUUUUCAGGAGUCUGUUCUACUUGUCUUUCAGAUUCCGGUUUCCAGCCAGCGGUGAUGAGACGUUGCUUGUCAUUUACAGUAAAGAAGAACCCUAGAGGGGGGG
Eptatretus burgeri (inshore hagfish) is the source of this 2291-nucleotide long non-coding RNA. The record is from Ensembl. NCBI's taxonomy places the organism in Eukaryota, Metazoa, Chordata, Myxini, Myxiniformes, Myxinidae.